This 484-nucleotide ribosomal RNA is filed under the name uncultured bacterium. Its description in RNAcentral is "partial 16S ribosomal RNA". It matches the Rfam family "Bacterial small subunit ribosomal RNA", at positions 30 to 507 of the family's 1533-position model. The record is from RNAcentral.
AUUGAACGCUGGCGGCAGGCCUAACACAUGCAAGUCGAGCGGAUGAAGGGAGCUUGCUCCUGGAUUCAGCGGCGGACGGGUGAGUAAUGCCUAGGAAUCUGCCUGGUAGUGGGGGAUAACGUCCGGAAACGGGCGCUAAUACCGCAUACGUCCUGAGGGAGAAAGUGGGGGAGCUUCGGACCUCACGCUAUCAGAUGAGCCUAGGUCGGAUUAGCUAGUUGGUGGGGUAAAGGCCUACCAAGGCGACGAUCCGUAACUGGUCUGAGAGGAUGAUCAGUCACACUGGAACUGAGACACGGUCCAGACUCCUACGGGAGGCAGCAGUGGGGAAUAUUGGACAAUGGGCGAAAGCCUGAUCCAGCCAUGGCGCGUGUGUGAAGAAGGUCUUCGGAUUGUAAAGCACGUUAAGUUGGGAGGAAGGGCAGUAAGUUAAUACCUUGCUGUUUUGACGGUACCAACAGAAUAAGCACCGGCUAACUUCGUG